Molecule: ribosomal RNA, 503 nt
Filed under: uncultured bacterium
Lineage: Bacteria
Description: bacterial SSU rRNA
Rfam family: Bacterial small subunit ribosomal RNA
Source: RNAcentral
UGAACGCUGGCGGCGUGCCUAACACAUGCAAGUCGAACGGAGAUUAACGCUGAUGAGGCUUCGGCGGAUUCUUGUUAAAUCUUAGUGGCGGACGGGUGAGUAACGCGUGGGCAACCUGCCUCAUACUGGGGGAUAGCAGUUGGAAACGACUGGUAAUACCGCAUAAGCGCACGAGAUCGCAUGAUCUAGUGUGAAAAACUCCGGUGGUAUGAGAUGGGCCCGCGUCAGAUUAGCUAGUUGGUAAGGUAACGGCUUACCAAGGCGACGGUCUGUAGCCGGACUGAGAGGUCGGACGGCCACAUUGGGACUGAGACACGGCCCAAACUCCUACGGGAGGCAGCAGUGGGGGAUAUUGCACAAUGGAGGAAACUCUGAUGCAGCGACGCCGCGUGAGUGAAGAAGUAUUUCGGUAUGUAAAGCUCUAUCAGCAGGGAAGAAAGACUCGCAAGAGAGAUGACGGUACCUGACUAAGAAGCCCCGGCUAACUACGUGCCAGCCGCAGC